ACGGAGGGUGCAAGCGUUAAUCGGAAUUACUGGGCGUAAAGCGCACGCAGGCGGAUGGAUAAGUUACAUGAGAAAACCGCGGGCUCAACCUGGGAAUAUCAUUUAAAACUUUCCAGCUAGAGUCUUGUAGAGGGGGGUAGAAUUCCAGGUGUAGCGGUGAAAUGCGUAGAGAUCUGGAGGAAUGCCGGUUGCGAAGGCGGCCCCCUGGACAAAGACUGACGCUCAGGUGCGAAAGCGUGGGGAGCAAACAG
Molecule: ribosomal RNA, 251 nt
Filed under: uncultured prokaryote
Description: partial 16S rRNA
Rfam family: Bacterial small subunit ribosomal RNA
Source: RNAcentral